AUUGAACGCUGGCGGCAGGCCUAACACAUGCAAGUCGAGCGGAUGAAGGGAGCUUGCUCCUGGAUUCAGCGGCGGACGGGUGAGUAAUGCCUAGGAAUCUGCCUGGUAGUGGGGGAUAACGUCCGGAAACGGGCGCUAAUACCGCAUACGUCCUGAGGGAGAAAGUGGGGGAUCUUCGGACCUCACGCUAUCAGAUGAGCCUAGGUCGGAUUAGCUAGUUGGUGGGGUAAAGGCCUACCAAGGCGACGAUCCGUAACUGGUCUGAGAGGAUGAUCAGUCACACUGGAACUGAGACACGGUCCAGACUCCUACGGGAGGCAGCAGUGGGGAAUAUUGGACAAUGGGCGAAAGCCUGAUCCAGCCAUGCCGCGUGUGUGGAGAAGGUCCCCGGAUUGUAAAGCACUUUAAGUUGGGAGGAAGGGCAGUAAGUUAAUACCUUGCUGUUUUGACGUUACCAACAGAAUAAGCACCGGCUAACUUCGUG
RNAcentral lists this ribosomal RNA (484 nucleotides) under uncultured bacterium. RNAcentral describes it as "partial 16S ribosomal RNA". It matches the Rfam family "Bacterial small subunit ribosomal RNA", at positions 30 to 507 of the family's 1533-position model. The record is from RNAcentral.